RNAcentral lists this unclassified non-coding RNA (346 nucleotides) under soil metagenome. RNAcentral describes it as "partial contains 5.8S ribosomal RNA, internal transcribed spacer 2, and large subunit ribosomal RNA". The stretch from base 1 to 120 matches the Rfam family "5.8S ribosomal RNA", at positions 35 to 154 of the family's 154-position model. The record is from RNAcentral.
GAUGAAGAACGUAGCAAAAUGCGAUAAGUAAUGUGAAUUGCAGAAUUCAGUGAAUCAUCGAAUCUUUGAACGCACAUUGCGCCCGCCAGUAUUCUGGCGGGCAUGCCUGUUCGAGCGUCAUUUCAACCCUCAAGCCCUGGGGUUUGGUGUUGGGGAUCGGCGAGCCUUUCUGGCAAGCCGGCCCCGAAAUCUAGUGGCGGUCUCGCUGCAGCCUCCAUUGCGUAGUAGUAAAACCCUCGCAACUGGAACGCGGCGCGGCCAAGACGUUAAACCCCCAACUUCUGAAUGUUGACCUCGGAUCAGGUAGGAAUACCCGCUGAACUUAAGCAUAUCAAUAAGCGGAGGA